CAAGGAAUUGCCAAGGAGCACACAAGCCGGGAUUUCUGCCUACCACUCGGUUUAGCUCUGGCAGCUCAGCUCAAGUCUUCAAAUCUCAGGUCUAAUGGUGCUGAAGUAGGCUAAACAAACAAGCUGUAAUAGCUGCGAUCAGAGAAUCAGCACCACAGAAGCGGACAGCGACAGAAUCGGAACUCAGCACCACGUGACAUUGGAAAGCGACGCUCUCAGGUGCAGACACUCACCACUUGAACAAUCUGACCGCAGGCCACUACUGAAGGAAAGGUUCCUGCACGAAUGUAAUUUGCUAGACUGAUUCAGCCAGCCAUACUGACUUCUUCAUCCAAACGUUAGAAUUGUAAGUAAUAGGGAAUAAAUUACAAUGCGAAAAUGA
Molecule: long non-coding RNA, 382 nt
Organism: Oncorhynchus keta (chum salmon)
Lineage: Eukaryota; Metazoa; Chordata; Actinopteri; Salmoniformes; Salmonidae
Exons: 2
Source: RefSeq, a predicted model, not a curated record